UACGUAGGGUGCGAGCGUUGCUCGGAAUUACUGGGCGUAAAGGGCUCGUAGGUGGCCAACUAAGUCAGACGUGAAAUCCCCGUCAGCUUAACUGGGGAACUGCGUCUGAUACUGGAUGGCUUGAGUUUGGGAGAGGGAUGCGGAAUUCCAGGUGUAGCGGUGAAAUGCGCAGAGUAGUCAGGAGGAACGACCGGUGGCGAAGGCGGGUCUCU
Molecule: ribosomal RNA, 212 nt
Filed under: uncultured bacterium
Lineage: Bacteria
Description: partial 16S ribosomal RNA
Rfam family: Bacterial small subunit ribosomal RNA
Source: RNAcentral